UUUAUGGAGAGUUUGAUCCUGGCUCAGGAUGAACGCUGGCGGCGUGCCUAAUACAUGCAAGUCGAGCGAACGGACGAGAAGCUUGCUUCUCUGAUGUUAGCGGCGGACGGGUGAGUAACACGUGGAUAACCUACCUAUAAGACUGGGAUAACUUCGGGAAACCGGAGCUAAUACCGGAUAAUAUUUUGAACUGCAUGGUUCAAAAGUGAAAGACGGUCUUGCUGUCACUUAUAGAUGGAUCCGCGCUGCAUUAGCUAGUUGGUAAGGUAACGGCUUACCAAGGCAACGAUGCAUAGCCGACCUGAGAGGGUGAUCGGCCACACUGGAACUGAGACACGGUCCAGACUCCUACGGGAGGCAGCAGUAGGGAAUCUUCCGCAAUGGGCGAAAGCCUGACGGAGCAACGCCGCGUGAGCGAUGAAGGUCUUCGGAUCGUAAAACUCUGUUAUUAGGGAAGAACAUAUGUGUAAGUAACUGUGCACAUCUUGACGGUACCUAAUCAGAAAGCCACGGCUAACUACGUGCCAGCAGCCGCGGUAAUACGUAGGUGGCAAGCGUUAUCCGGAAUUAUUGGGCGUAAAGCGCGCGUAGGCGGUUUUUUAAGUCUGAUGUGAAAGCCCACGGCUCAACCGUGGAGGGUCAUUGGAAACUGGAAAACUUGAGUGCAGAAGAGGAAAGUGGAAUUCCAUGUGUAGCGGUGAAAUGCGCAGAGAUAUGGAGGAACACCAGUGGCGAAGGCGACUUUCUGGUCUGUAACUGACGCUGAUGUGCGAAAGCGUGGGGAUCAAACAGGAUUAGAUACCCUGGUAGUCCACGCCGUAAACGAUGAGUGCUAAGUGUUAGGGGGUUUCCGCCCCUUAGUGCUGCAGCUAACGCAUUAAGCACUCCGCCUGGGGAGUACGACCGCAAGGUUGAAACUCAAAGGAAUUGACGGGGACCCGCACAAGCGGUGGAGCAUGUGGUUUAAUUCGAAGCAACGCGAAGAACCUUACCAAAUCUUGACAUCCUUUGACAACUCUAGAGAUAGAGCCUUCCCCUUCGGGGGACAAAGUGACAGGUGGUGCAUGGUUGUCGUCAGCUCGUGUCGUGAGAUGUUGGGUUAAGUCCCGCAACGAGCGCAACCCUUAAGCUUAGUUGCCAUCAUUAAGUUGGGCACUCUAAGUUGACUGCCGGUGACAAACCGGAGGAAGGUGGGGAUGACGUCAAAUCAUCAUGCCCCUUAUGAUUUGGGCUACACACGUGCUACAAUGGACAAUACAAAGGGCAGCGAAACCGCGAGGUCAAGCAAAUCCCAUAAAGUUGUUCUCAGUUCGGAUUGUAGUCUGCAACUCGACUACAUGAAGCUGGAAUCGCUAGUAAUCGUAGAUCAGCAUGCUACGGUGAAUACGUUCCCGGGUCUUGUACACACCGCCCGUCACACCACGAGAGUUUGUAACACCCGAAGCCGGUGGAGUAACCUUUUAGGAGCUAGCCGUCGAAGGUGGGACAAAUGAUUGGGGUGAAGUCGUAACAAGGUAGCCGUAUCGGAAGGUGCGGCUGGAUCACCUCCUUUCU
RNAcentral lists this ribosomal RNA (1554 nucleotides) under Staphylococcus aureus. RNAcentral's name for it is "16S ribosomal RNA". It matches the Rfam family "Bacterial small subunit ribosomal RNA". The record is from RNAcentral. Lineage: Bacteria; Bacillati; Bacillota; Bacilli; Caryophanales; Staphylococcaceae.